This 393-nucleotide ribosomal RNA is filed under the name uncultured bacterium. RNAcentral's name for it is "bacterial SSU rRNA". It matches the Rfam family "Bacterial small subunit ribosomal RNA", at positions 490 to 879 of the family's 1533-position model. The record is from RNAcentral.
GCACCGGCCAACUACGUGCCAGCAGCCGCGGUAAUACGUAGGGUGCGAGCGUUGUCCGGAAUUAUUGGGCGUAAAGAGCUCGUAGGCGGUCUGUCGCGUCGGUCGUGAAAACUUGGGGCUUAACCCUGAGCUUGCGGUCGAUACGGGCAUGACUGGAGUUCGGCAGGGGAGACUGGAAUUCCUGGUGUAGCGGUGAAAUGCGCAGAUAUCAGGAGGAACACCGGUGGCGAAGGCGGGUCUCUGGGCCGAUACUGACGCUGAGGAGCGAAAGCGUGGGGAGCGAACAGGAUUAGAUACCCUGGUAGUCCACGCCGUAAACGGUGGGCGCUAGGUGUGGGGGCCAUUCCACGGUCUCUGUGCCGCAGCUAACGCAUUAAGCGCCCCGCCUGGGGA